UAAACGACUCUCGGCAACGGAUAUCUCGGCUCUCGCAUCGAUGAAGAACGUAGCGAAAUGCGAUACUUGGUGUGAAUUGCAGAAUCCCGUGAACCAUCGAGUCUUUGAACGCAAGUUGCGCCCGAAGCCAUUAGGCCGAGGCACACCUGCCUAUGCGUCACAU
Molecule: ribosomal RNA, 163 nt
Filed under: Rubus grabowskii
Lineage: Eukaryota; Viridiplantae; Streptophyta; Magnoliopsida; Rosales; Rosaceae
Description: 5.8S ribosomal RNA
Rfam family: 5.8S ribosomal RNA
About the family: 5.8S ribosomal RNA (5.8S rRNA) is a component of the large subunit of the eukaryotic ribosome. It is transcribed by RNA polymerase I as part of the 45S precursor that also contains 18S and 28S rRNA.
Source: RNAcentral